This 468-nucleotide ribosomal RNA is filed under the name uncultured bacterium. RNAcentral describes it as "partial 16S ribosomal RNA". It matches the Rfam family "Bacterial small subunit ribosomal RNA", at positions 28 to 507 of the family's 1533-position model. The record is from RNAcentral.
GACGAACGCUGGCGGCGUGCUUAACACAUGCAAGUCGAACGGAAAGGCCCUGCUUUUGUGGGGUGCUCGAGUGGCGAACGGGUGAGUAACACGUGAGUAACCUGCCCUUGACUUUGGGAUAACUUCAGGAAACUGGGGCUAAUACCGUAUAGGAGCUCCUGCUGCAUGGUGGGGGUUGGAAAGUUUCGGCGGUUGGGGAUGGACUCGCGGCUUAUCAGCUUGUUGGUGGGGUAGUGGCUUACCAAGGCUUUGACGGGUAGCCGGCCUGAGAGGGUGACCGGGCACAAUGGGACUAAGAGACGGAGCAGACUCCUACGGGAGGCAGCAGUGGGGAAUAUUGCACAAUGGGCGGAAGCCUGAGGCAGCGACGUCGCGUGCGGGAUGACGGCCUGCGGGUUGUAAACCGCUGUCGCCUGUGACGAAGCGGGAGUGACGGUAAUGGGUAAAGAAGCACCGGCUAACUACGUG